Molecule: unclassified non-coding RNA, 399 nt
Filed under: soil metagenome
Description: partial contains 5.8S ribosomal RNA, internal transcribed spacer 2, and large subunit ribosomal RNA
Rfam family: 5.8S ribosomal RNA (bases 1-122)
Source: RNAcentral
GAUGAAGAACGUAGCGAAAUGCGAUACUUGGUGUGAAUUGCAGAAUCCCGUGAACCAUCGAGUCUUUGAACGCAAGUUGCGCCCGAAGCCAUCAGGUUGAGGGCACGUCUGCCUGGGCGUCACAUAUCGUUGCUCGAUGCCUAUCGCAUUGCGAUAGGACUUAGGGCGAAUGAUGGCUUCCCGUGAGCGUUGUUGCCUCGCGGUUGGUUGAAAAUCGAGUGCAUGGUGUCGGGUGUACCAUGAUGGAUGGUGGUUGAGUGAUGAUGCUCGAGACCGAUCAUGGGUAACUCCACCAGAAUUGGGCUCGGUGACCCACAUGCGUCCCUUGGAUGCUCCCUAAGGAGACCUCAGGUCAGGCGGGGCUACCCGCUGAGUUUAAGCAUAUCAAUAAGCGGAGGA